CCCCAUGGAGCUUCAAACCCAACUACACCCCUANNUCUUAUAGCCCCACAACCCCCCUAGGCACCGUGUGCUUGGUUUUAGGUUGGGGCGACCGCGGAGUACAAUAAAACCUCCACAAUGAAUGGGAACACCCCCUUAUCUGAGGGCCACACCCCCUAAGAAUUAGAACACUAACAUAAAAUGAUCCAUUACUUGAUCAAUGAACCAAGUUACCCUGGGGAUAACAGCGCAAUCCAUUUCAAGAGCCCCUAUCGACAAAUGGGUUUACGACCUCGAUGUUGGAUCAGGGUACCCCAGUGGUGCAGCAGCUACUAACGGUUCGUUUGUUCAACGAUUAAAACCCU
This 344-nucleotide ribosomal RNA is filed under the name Mantidactylus melanopleura. Its description in RNAcentral is "partial 16S ribosomal RNA". It matches the Rfam family "Bacterial large subunit ribosomal RNA", at positions 2089 to 2597 of the family's 2925-position model. The record is from RNAcentral. Lineage: Eukaryota; Metazoa; Chordata; Amphibia; Anura; Mantellidae.